RNAcentral lists this long non-coding RNA (1557 nucleotides) under Equus caballus (horse). Its description in RNAcentral is "lncRNA (ENSECAG00000053491.1)". The record is from RNAcentral. Lineage: Eukaryota; Metazoa; Chordata; Mammalia; Perissodactyla; Equidae.
AGCUCGAGGUUCCUCUCCUGUCACACAACCCACUGUGUGUGCAGGUGUCACCUGCCCCUCUUCAAAUUGCCCUGUGGGAAUCUGGGGUCAGUGAACCGCACAAAAUGCUGAUACUCCAGCUGCUGCCAUUGCUCAAGCUGCCAUGCUGUGAGCUGCCCUGCUGGAGAGGUGCAUGUGGCCAGGAGCUGAGGGCAGCCGAGAACCAGCAGGAAAUUGAAUCCUGCCCACCACCACAUGAAUGAGCUUGGAAGCGAAUCCUCCCCCAGUGGAGCCUUGAGAUGCUGCAGCCCCAGCCCACACCUUGACUACAGCCAGGUUAGAAACCCUGAGGCAGAAGACCCAAGCUAAGCUGUGCCUUCAUUCCUGACCCACAGAAACUGUAAGAUAAUAGCUGGUGUCGUUUUAAGUUGACAAGUUCGGGGGUAAUUUGUUCUGCAGCAAUCAAGAACUGAUACACUGGUAUAUUAUUUAUUUCCUCCUCUAUAACAGUAGCGCCACAGCAGAAGGGACUAUGCCUAUCUUGUUCACUUUGGUAUGCCCAGAACAAAAACUAAGUCUGGAACAUAAGAGAUGCUCAGUUUUGGGGCCAGCCUCAAGGCCUAGUGGUUAAGUUCGGCACACUCCUCUUCAACAGCCUGGGUUCGGUUACUGGGCACCGACCUACACCACUCGUUGGUGGCCAUGCUGUGGCAGUGACCCACACAUAAAACAGAGGAAGAUUGGCACUGAUGUUAGCUCUUUCUCCAAAACAUUUCUCAGGCCUGCCUUUCAAAUCCAUUUCCUGACACCACGCUGGCCUAGGCUUUAUUUUUCUCACACUUGCAUAUCUACUGCCUCCUUCGAACAUCCAGUUUUCCCAGCCCCUGGAGACCAUCUCACACUCAAGAGCCAGAAUAAUACCCCACAGCUGUUUCCAACAUCCUUCUCGUCUUAGCCAGUGCAUGAAAUCCUGGGCGUCAAGAUGCUUCAGCCUUUAUCUCAUCCCCCAACAGAACUUGAUAAGACUUUCACUUCCUAUUAGGAAGCCAACAUUUUACCUCUCGUAUAACCACUACUUCUUUUUUAAAGUUCUGCUUCAGAAUUAAUCCAGCAAUGACCCUUUUCAUGGCUGCCUAGGUUUAUCAUACUGAGAGCGAGUGAGGGCUUGAUCUGCUCACCGCAAGAAAAAAAGGCCAAGCAGGUGGUGGUAGAGAAAGAACUUUAAUAAGAGAUAAGCUAGAAAAUCAGAAGAUGGUGGACUAUUGCCCUAAAAAAAACCCCAUCUUAAAGGGAACUCAUUUGGAACUGACUUACAUAAGGCAAACGGGGUUGGGGAGGGGGUUCAGAAAAGUUGGGUGACGGAUGACCACAGGACAUUGGGCACCUCUCUGUAGCGGAUCUGCUGAAUGCAACGUUCCUGAGGAAUCUAAGAAAACCUCAGUUCCUUCCUUAUCUGGAACAGAAGGAACAGUUUGGGCAGAGGACAUAAACAAGUUAUCUUUCUACUGGUUACAGAGUAGCUUGCCUACGUGCAGUUCUAAGCGUUUUUCCAAAGCACAUUGUGAGAAUAAGAGGGGG